AGUGGAAUAGUUGGGUUAAAUGGUGGUUCCAUUCCAACUUUUCCAAGGAAUUUCCAUACUGCUUUUCAUAUUGGUUGUACCAAUUUGCAGUCCCACAAGCAAU
Molecule: microRNA precursor, 103 nt
Filed under: Marmota monax (woodchuck)
Lineage: Eukaryota; Metazoa; Chordata; Mammalia; Rodentia; Sciuridae
Source: RNAcentral